GAUGAACGCUGGCGGCGUGCCUAAUACAUGCAAGUCGAGCGAACGGACGAGAAGCUUGCUUCUCUGAUGUUAGCGGCGGACGGGUGAGUAACACGUGGAUAACCUACCUAUAAGACUGGGAUAACUUCGGGAAACCGGAGCUAAUGCCGGAUAAUAUUUUGAACCGCAUGGUUCAAAAGUGAAAGACGGUCUUGCUGUCACUUAUAGAUGGAUCCGCGCUGCAUUAGCUAGUUGGUAAGGUAACGGCCUACCAAGGCAACGAUGCAUAGCCGACCUGAGAGGGUGAUCGGCCACACUGGAACUGAGACACGGUCCAGACUCCUACGGGAGGCAGCAGUAGGGAAUCCUCCGCAAUGGGCGAAAGCCUGACGGAGCAACGCCGCGUGAGUGAUGAAGGUCUUCGGAUCGUAAAACUCUGUUAUUAGGGAAGAACAUAUGUGUAAAUAACUGUGCACAUCUUGACGGUACCUAAUCAGAAAGCCACGGCUAACUACGUG
This 497-nucleotide ribosomal RNA is filed under the name uncultured bacterium. RNAcentral's name for it is "partial 16S ribosomal RNA". It matches the Rfam family "Bacterial small subunit ribosomal RNA", at positions 28 to 507 of the family's 1533-position model. The record is from RNAcentral.